AACGUCGGCUUGAAAUUGCCGCGAGAGUGCCGGGACAUGACGGCAGAGGCCUCCCGCCGAUGCACGGGACUGCAAUUCUCUUCUGAAUCUUCAUCCAAAUCACCGGGCAGGCGAGCUGCGGCGGAGAAGACCCCCCCCUCCGGACAGUAGGAAUGUGGGCACCGCUCAGUUUUGACCUCGCCCGGACAAUCCCAACCGGCCGCAGAAAUGGACAUCGGCCAAAGUCCACACCCACAGAUUCAAAGUCUCUUGCCGUACGUAGCCCCCGAUUGUGUCCGCAACUGGAGCAAGGUCGUCUCCCGGCAGCUGGCGAAAGUCAGGCCUCCCCCGGCGAUACAGUUCUUCACGCCUUCGUCACAUCCCGUCUGGAUCGCUGUCAUGCACUUGACUUUGGAGUCAGCCAAACCUCCAUGAAGCGUCUCCAGUUGCUCCAGAAUGCUGCUGCU
Hippocampus zosterae (dwarf seahorse) is the source of this 446-nucleotide long non-coding RNA. RefSeq lists it as uncharacterized. Lineage: Eukaryota; Metazoa; Chordata; Actinopteri; Syngnathiformes; Syngnathidae. The transcript has 3 exons. The record is from RefSeq and is a predicted model, not a curated record.